RNAcentral lists this transfer RNA (64 nucleotides) under Trioza frangulae. Its description in RNAcentral is "tRNA-Asn". Lineage: Eukaryota; Metazoa; Arthropoda; Insecta; Hemiptera; Triozidae. The record is from RNAcentral.
UGAAUAAAAGUCAAAUAGAGACAAAUUAUUGUUAAUAAUUUAAAUGAAGAAAAUUCUUAUUCAA